This 24-nucleotide microRNA is filed under the name Bombyx mori (domestic silkworm). Its description in RNAcentral is "bmo-miR-2801". Lineage: Eukaryota; Metazoa; Arthropoda; Insecta; Lepidoptera; Bombycidae. The record is from miRBase by way of RNAcentral.
GUGGAAUCUUGUGACUUUGUAAAG